UAAGGGCAAUUUCGUCAUUGCAAAUUACCAUACGUGGCCUGCAAUCAAUCCUAAAGUCUACGUGUGUGUUUUAUAUUACUCCACCGUAAGCCGCAUGAGCCUCCUCUACUUUUAGUUGUCCAAAUUCAUGCUUUACAAAUUGAGUUCCUUGGACUACUUGUCUGAUCAAAUUUCUGAUAAGCAUCAUUAACGUGGAAAGGAAAGGAAGAACAGAAAAUUUGGAGUGCUAAAUUUCUUCUUCUCUUUGCUAUUGCUUUUCCUCUGUUUGCUUGGCUUCUAUGCUUUUUAUCCCUUCUGAAUAUUCAAAAGUUAGAUUAUAGUAAUCAAGUUAGAUAUCUGGAAGAUCCUUGAGAGGUGAAAUUGGAUUUUGGCCGGCUAUUUUCAGGUUUGAUUUUGGUUCUAUGCAAGGCAUCAAGUUGAUGUGGUGGAAACCCCAAGAGCAAAUGAAGAAGUUGUACCAAAUGAUGUUAAAGAAGGUUACUUUGUUGUAUUCUCAUUGAACAAAGAGGAAGAGCCGAAGAGGUUUAUUGUGGAACUGCAUUUGCUCACUAAUUCAUCAUUCUUCAAAUUACUAAAACAGACUGAAGAUGAAUAUGAAUUUGAACAAAAGGGUGUUCUUGAGGUUCCUUGUCUCGCCAAGGAAUUGCAGAAGAUUUUGGAACCCCACAUUGGAAAUUAAGAUAGUUCCUUCUAUGUUAGCUAUAUAGCUAGGUUAAAAUUUCAAAUUGUUUUUUUCAGUUUGUCAAAUUUCGACUUAGUUCUGUUAAUUAUUACUGUGUAUAGUUUAGAUGCUUAUGCAUGUUAUGGGCAUUUGUACAUGGACAAAGUAAAAGCUUUUUUCAUUAUGAUAUUAAGUUGACCUAUAAUAAUGU
Molecule: long non-coding RNA, 872 nt
Organism: Capsicum annuum
Lineage: Eukaryota; Viridiplantae; Streptophyta; Magnoliopsida; Solanales; Solanaceae
Exons: 2
Source: RefSeq, a predicted model, not a curated record